UUCUCAUUGAAUGAUGACUCCCACGUGUCAUGUUCUGAUUGGAUGUCAACUUUAUGAAAGAUGAAAUGCAUUAUUUUUUUAUUGAUCAGAACAUGACACGUGGCAAUCAUCAUCC
Non-coding RNA from Glycine soja, 115 nucleotides. The record is from Rfam. NCBI's taxonomy places the organism in Eukaryota, Viridiplantae, Streptophyta, Magnoliopsida, Fabales, Fabaceae.